RNAcentral lists this small nucleolar RNA (103 nucleotides) under Helianthus annuus (common sunflower). Its description in RNAcentral is "Small nucleolar RNA Z103". It matches the Rfam family "Small nucleolar RNA Z103". From Rfam's summary of the family: This family consists of several snoRNA Z103 sequences which are members of the C/D class of snoRNA which contain the C (UGAUGA) and D (CUGA) box motifs. The record is from Rfam by way of RNAcentral. Lineage: Eukaryota; Viridiplantae; Streptophyta; Magnoliopsida; Asterales; Asteraceae.
AUGGAUGUGAUGAUUAUUUCCCCAGAUGAUCGAAUCUGAAAUAGCUGAGCGCUCAUUUCAUGUUUCUCCUUUUGGAGAAAUUCAAGCCAGAAAUCUGAUCCAU